RNAcentral lists this unclassified non-coding RNA (655 nucleotides) under Arthroderma quadrifidum. RNAcentral's name for it is "sequence contains 18S rRNA gene, ITS1, 5.8S rRNA gene, ITS2, 28S rRNA gene". The stretch from base 289 to 442 matches the Rfam family "5.8S ribosomal RNA". The record is from RNAcentral. Lineage: Eukaryota; Fungi; Ascomycota; Eurotiomycetes; Onygenales; Arthrodermataceae.
AGUCGUAACAAGGUUUCCGUAGGUGAACCUGCGGAAGGAUCAUUAAAGCGUUGCCGACGUCGGCCCCGGCCGUUCGGCUUGAAAUAUAGCCUGGACGGUGCUGGAGGUCGCCGGCAGUUGCCCAUUCUUGCCUACUGACCCAGUUGCCUCGGCGAGCCGUGCCACUCGUGGCAGACCGGAAGCCGUUUGAACCCCUAGGGCUCAGGCGGCCCUGGCCAGUGCCCGCCGACGGACAGACUUAAAAUCUUUAUAUAUUGGCCGUCUGAGCGUAUAAAGCAAAUCAAUUAAAACUUUCAACAACGGAUCUCUUGGUUCCGGCAUCGAUGAAGAACGCAGCGAAAUGCGAUAAGUAAUGUGAAUUGCAGAAUUCCGUGAAUCAUCGAAUCUUUGAACGCACAUUGCGCCCCCUGGUAUUCCGGGGGGCAUGCCUGUUCGAGCGUCAUUGCAACCCUCAAGCUCGGCUUGUGUGAUGGGCGACCGUCCUUCCCCUAGGGGCGGGACGCGUCCGAAAAGCAGUGGCUAGGCCGCGAUUCCGGCGCCUGAGCGAAUGGGACUUCCACCGCUUCUAGGACCGGCCGGCACUUGGCCUUUAAACACGGUCUUAACUGACCAUCUAGGUUGACCUCGGAUCAGGUAGGGAUACCCGCUGAACCUA